Molecule: long non-coding RNA, 341 nt
Organism: Carassius carassius (crucian carp)
Lineage: Eukaryota; Metazoa; Chordata; Actinopteri; Cypriniformes; Cyprinidae
Exons: 3
Source: RefSeq, a predicted model, not a curated record
GUCCAGUCUGGUGUGAGUCGCACACAAACCCGGAGCUGCGACAGCUGGAGAAUUGAGUGUGAGUGACGGGGCCACGAGCCAAUAGGAGGAAGGAGCGCAAGAGAGGGCGGGGCGUGGAGUGAGGCGAGUUAUUGCACCUCUACUGGAGAACUGGGGGAUCACUACUUCUGUUGCAUCUGCUGUUUGUCUAAAGAGAGGGACGCCAUUGCCAAAAAUAAGGCAAUCAACCUCACCCUUGCUGAGCAGGAGAAAAAAAAGUAAAGUUGCUUUUAUAAGGCACGGCAGAAAGUAGAAAGACAAUGUUUAUGGAGCAGCUGAGAAUGAUUCAUGGAAGCAGAUAC